This 496-nucleotide ribosomal RNA is filed under the name uncultured bacterium. RNAcentral describes it as "partial 16S ribosomal RNA". It matches the Rfam family "Bacterial small subunit ribosomal RNA", at positions 29 to 507 of the family's 1533-position model. The record is from RNAcentral.
ACGAACGCUGGCGGCGUGCCUAAUACAUGCAAGUUGAGCGCUGAAGGUUGGUACUUGUACCAACUGGAUGAGCAGCGAACGGGUGAGUAACGCGUGGGGAAUCUGCCUUUGAGCGGGGGACAACAUUUGGAAACGAAUGCUAAUACCGCAUAAAAACUUUAAACACAAGUUUUAAGUUUGAAAGAUGCAAUUGCAUCACUCAAAGAUGAUCCCGCGUUGUAUUAGCUAGUUGGUGAGGUAAAGGCUCACCAAGGCGAUGAUACAUAGCCGACCUGAGAGGGUGAGCGGCCACAUUGGGACUGAGACACGGCCCAAACUCCUACGAGAGGCAGCAGUAGGGAAUCUUCGGCAAUGGACGAAAGUCUGACCGAGCAACGCCGCGUGAGUGAAGAAGGUUUUCGGAUCGUAAAACUCUGUUGGUAGAGAAGAACGUUGGUGAGAGUGGAAAGCUCAUCAAGUGACGGUAACUACCCAGAAAGGGACGGCUAACUACGUG